GACGAACGCUGGCGGCGUGCUUAACACAUGCAAGUCGAACGGAAAGGCCCUGCUUGCAGGGUGCUCGAGUGGCGAACGGGUGAGUAACACGUGGGUGAUCUGCCCCUUACUUUGGGAUAAGCCUGGGAAACUGGGUCUAAUACUGGAUAGGACCAUGCUGUAGGUGGUGUGGUGGAAAGAUUAGUUUCGGUAAGGGAUGAGCUCGCGGCCUAUCAGCUUGUUGGUGGGGUACUGGCCUACCAAGGCGUCGACGGGUAGCCGGCCUGAGAGGGUGGAAGGCCAGAUGGGGACUGCGAUACGGCCCAGAAUCCUACGGGAGGCAGCAGUGGGGAAUAUUGCACAAGGGGAGCAAGCCUGAUGCAGCGACGCCGCGUGGGGGAUGACGGCCUUCGGGUUGUAAACUCCUUUCGGCCAUGACGAAGCGCUUGUGGUGACGGUAGUGGUAGAAGAAGCACCGGCUAACUACGUG
This 469-nucleotide ribosomal RNA is filed under the name uncultured bacterium. RNAcentral describes it as "partial 16S ribosomal RNA". It matches the Rfam family "Bacterial small subunit ribosomal RNA", at positions 28 to 507 of the family's 1533-position model. The record is from RNAcentral.